This 428-nucleotide ribosomal RNA is filed under the name Bacteroidota bacterium. RNAcentral's name for it is "Bacteroidetes bacterium partial 16S ribosomal RNA". It matches the Rfam family "Bacterial small subunit ribosomal RNA", at positions 355 to 776 of the family's 1533-position model. Lineage: Bacteria; Pseudomonadati; Bacteroidota. The record is from RNAcentral.
UAGGGAAUCUUCCGCAAUGGACGCAAGUCUGACGGAGCAACGCCGCGUGAGUGAAGAAGGAUUUCGGUUCGUAAAACUCUGUUGUUAGAGAAGAACAGCGCAUAGAGUAACUGUUAUGCGUGUGACGGUAUCUAACCAGAAAGCCACGGCUAACUACGUGCCAGCAGCCGCGGUAAUACGUAGGUGGCAAGCGUUGUCCGGAUUUAUUGGGCGUAAAGCGAGCGCAGGCGGUUAGAAAAGUCUGAAGUGAAAGGCAGUGGCUCAACCAUUGUAGGCUUUGGAAACUGUUUAACUUGAGUGCAGAAGGGGGGAGUGGAAAUCCAUGUGUAGCGGUGAAAUGCGUAGAUAUAUGGAGGAACACCGGUGGCGAAAGCGGCUCUCCGGUCUGUAACUGACGCUGAGGCUCGAAAGCGUGGGGAGCGAACAGG